AGUCCGUCAGUCUAAGAGUAGAUCUCUCAGUGGAAACCCUGCAAGCCAGGAAAGAAUGGGAGCCAAUAUUCAACAUUUGUAAAGAAAAGAAUUUUCAACUCAGAAUUUCAUAUCAAGCCAAACUAAGCUUCAUAAGCAAAGGAGAAAUACAAUUAUUUACAGACAAACAAAUGCUGAGAGAUUUUGUCACCACCAGGCCUGCCCUACAAGAGCUCCCGAAGGAAGCACUAAACAAAGAAAGAAAAAGCCAGCAACCAGCAGUAACCUUUUAUCCUUGUGUUAUAUAAAUUCUUUUAAGAUUUAUUUUAUUGCUGAUUGACACAUAAUAAUUAUACAUAUUUAUUGGGUCUAAUAUGUGUAAUAAUUAGAGUAAUUCACAUACCCAUUACAUAUUUAUUUAACAUUUAUGAUCUCUUUGUGAUGAGAACAUUCAGAAGCCUCUCUUCUAUUUUGAAACAUGCAAUACAUUAUUGAUAAAUGUAUUCACUCUAUUGUGGAAUAAAAAGCCAGAAGUUAUUUCUCCUAUCUAACUGUAGAUUGUACCCCCCCGUUGACCAACCUCUCCUUAUCCCUGCUAUCCCGUAU
Long non-coding RNA from Sapajus apella (tufted capuchin), 585 nucleotides. RefSeq lists it as uncharacterized. NCBI's taxonomy places the organism in Eukaryota, Metazoa, Chordata, Mammalia, Primates, Cebidae. The transcript is spliced from 3 exons. The record is from RefSeq and is a predicted model, not a curated record.